GUCCACGCCCUAAACGAUGUUCACUCGACAUUGGCGAUAUACCGAUCAGUGUCUAAGCGAAAGCGUUAAGUGAACCACCUGGGGGAGUACGUCCGCAAGGAUGAAACUCAAAGUAAUUGACGGGGUCCGCACAAGCGGUGGAGCAUGUGGUUUAAUUCGAUGGUACGCGAGGAACCUUACCUGGGCUAGAAUGCAGGGGGAAUGAUGUUGAAAGGCGUCAGUCCGUCAAAAGACCGCCUGCAAGGUGCUGCAUGGCUGUCGU
Molecule: ribosomal RNA, 262 nt
Filed under: uncultured bacterium
Lineage: Bacteria
Description: partial 16S ribosomal RNA
Rfam family: Bacterial small subunit ribosomal RNA
Source: RNAcentral